UAAGCGGAGGAAAAGAAACCAACGGGGAUUCCCAUAGUAACUGCGAGUGAAAGGGGAACAGCCCAGCGCCGAAUCCUGCUGCUGGUAACGGUGGCAGGAACUGUGGCGUGAAGAAGGUGGUUACCGGUAUGGUUCGCUUGCGUAAGUCCUCCUGAGUGAGGCUCCAUCCCAUGGAGGGUGCAAGGCCCGUAUCGUGAGCAACUGAUGCCGGUGUACACUUUCGGAGAGUCGCCUUGUUUGCGAGUACAAGGUGAAGUCGGUGGUAAACUCCAUCGAAGGCUAAAUAUGACCACGAGUCCGAUAGCGAACAAGUACCGUGAGGGAAAAUUGAAAAGCACUUUGAAGAGAGAGCGAAACAGUGCGUGAAACCGCUCAGAGGCAAGCAGAUGGGGCCUCGAAGGCAUAGCAGUGAAUUCAGCUGGCGAGUGGGUGGCGAACCGGUGAUGAGAUCGCAAGACUCUAGCCGGUUAUGUGUUCUGCCUUGCUUGUCGGUGCACUUUCGCUGUUUGUACGCCACCGCCGUUGAGCGAGCAUCCGUCGGGUAUGCAUGUUGAAGCCUUACUCCUUUACGGGCGUAGGUGCUUACCGCUAACCUGUACGCGUUUGCGCCUCAACCGGUCAUGUCAACGGGUGCCAGCGUUUGCGUUGGAUCGGUGCGCUCUUCAGUGUAACGUGGGAUGACGAGCUUGCUCGGCUCCUCGUUGCGCAGUGGAAUCGUUUCCGGUUUUCAACGUGGGCACCUUGUA
Molecule: ribosomal RNA, 746 nt
Filed under: Macrobiotus hufelandi
Lineage: Eukaryota; Metazoa; Tardigrada; Eutardigrada; Parachela; Macrobiotidae
Description: eukaryotic LSU rRNA
Rfam family: Eukaryotic large subunit ribosomal RNA
Source: RNAcentral